This 429-nucleotide ribosomal RNA is filed under the name uncultured bacterium. RNAcentral's name for it is "bacterial SSU rRNA". It matches the Rfam family "Bacterial small subunit ribosomal RNA", at positions 9 to 436 of the family's 1533-position model. The record is from RNAcentral.
GAGUUUGAUCAUGGCUCAGGACGAACGCUGGCGGCGUGCUUAACACAUGCAAGUCGAACGGAUCAGGAGAGCUUGCUUUUCUGGUUAGUGGCGAACGGGUGAGUAACACGUGAGUAACCUGCCCUUCACUCUGGGAUAACUCCGGGAAACCGGGGCUAAUACUGGAUACGACCUACUCGGGCAUCUGAAGUGGGUGGAAAGAUUUAUUGGUGGAGGAUGGACUCGCGGCCUAUCAGCUUGUUGGUGAGGUAAUGGCUCACCAAGGCGACGACGGGUAGCCGGCCUGAGAGGGCGAUCGGCCACACUGGGACUGAGACACGGCCCAGACUCCUACGGGAGGCAGCAGUGGGGAAUAUUGCACAAUGGGCGAAAGCCUGAUGCAGCGACGCCGCGUGAGGGAUGAAGGCCUCGGUUGUAACGUACUUCUAG